Molecule: non-coding RNA, 113 nt
Organism: Peniophora sp. CONT
Lineage: Eukaryota; Fungi; Basidiomycota; Agaricomycetes; Russulales; Peniophoraceae
Source: the annotation of a GenBank genome assembly
CCUUCGAUAGCUCAGCUGGAAGAGCGCGGGACUGUAAUUGGCUGCCAAAAACUCGAAUGCAUUCGAAACGCAUACCAAUCCCGAGGUCGCUGGAUCGACGCCGGCUCGAAGGA